Long non-coding RNA from Labeo rohita (rohu), 1315 nucleotides. RefSeq lists it as uncharacterized. Lineage: Eukaryota; Metazoa; Chordata; Actinopteri; Cypriniformes; Cyprinidae. The transcript is spliced from 3 exons. The record is from RefSeq and is a predicted model, not a curated record.
GAAUUCAGCCAUUUCAGAGAGUCACUGCACGUUUUUCACAGUAAUGUACGAUAAAGACUCGUAAUUAACAUGGCAGAUAUCAUCAAGAAAAUUAUCCAGUAUAUUAGAAGAUCAUCUUCUGUCAGUCUGUUCGGUCCGACUCUAACACACCCAGAAACAGUUGAGCAGAUGAUUACAAACAGUGAUCAUCUUCGGAAAGAGAUUAUCUGGAGGAAUGCAGCAGUAUGAAGAACAUUUUGUUAUACUUUAUAAUGUCAUUGUUCACGAAAGGUGUGUUUGGUGAGUCUGUGUCAGUGAAGGAGGGAGAUUCUGUCAUUCUGAAAGUGAACUGAAAUACACUGAAAUACACAAAGAUGAUGUGAUAGACUGGAGAUUAGGAGCUGAAAUUGAACUCAUAGCUAGAAUAACCCCUCAAUAUAUGAUGAUGCUCUUAAUGGGACAUUCAGAGACAGACUGAAGCUGAACGUUCAGACUGGAGAUCUCAUCCUCAAAAACAUCAAAACCACAGGAGUUUAUGAAGUAACCAACAGCGCCAACACCUUUAAGAAGUCAUUCAGUGUUACUGUUGUGCCUGCAGAUGAUGUGAAGUCAGUGUUAGUGAUUGAGGGAGAUUCUGUUCCUCUAAACACUGACGUUACUGAAAUGUGGAGAUAUAAUGAGAUACAGUGGAGGUUUGAUCAUUAAAACUUUCCUGUAGCUGAAAUCGAUAGAAAAACUGGAAAUGUCUCUACAUAUGAUGGUCCUGAUGGGAGAUUCAAAGACAGACUGAAGGUGGAUCAUCAAACUGGAUCUCUGACCAUCACAAACAUCAGAACCACAGACUCUGGAGUUUAUAAACUAGAGACCAGCAGCAGCAAAUACACCAUACACAAGUCAUUCACUUUGACUGUCAGCGGUGAGUUUAUCAAGUUUAUUAAGUGUUUCAAUGUAAUAGUGAACGUAUUUAGAUCAGCACGGUGUGAAUAGAUUUUAGUAGUUGACUUAUUUGCUCUGAAUUAAGGCUAAGAAACUAAAUGGAUGUGGUUCUUUUAGUUUACUUUUUCUCAGACUCUCAAAGCUUUAUGUAGAAGCAAUGUUGAGAAUUUAACUCUACACAUUUCAUACUGUACGUUAUUUCGGAAAUUAAAUAAAAAGUGUCCUUUGAAUCAUUCAAUUCAGUUCAUCAGUUCCCCAACACCUGUAAAACUGCAUGUUAUUAGAUACAUAAGUAGAUAAACAUUUUCAUCAAGACAAACUUUGAAGUUGGCUUGAGAAAGCUAAGCAGGACGUUUUAAAAGCUAGAGAUUAGAUUAGGUUUUCAGGUUGAAGUAGUUUC